CUGAACUCAGCUUUACUGCACUUUUGAACAGUAAGAGUAGUAAGGAGUUUCUCAAAGACAUUAAGAAUGAACUUCUAAUACAGACCCCAACUUCCUGGGAAAUACUUACUGUGCACCUAUGUCCAUAACUAAUUUUUAGACGUACAUGAAUGGUAGAAGUCAGUACCAAAUGAUAUGGUAAGAAUUCAAGGAAAUUUACAACCUGUGGCUGAUCUGCAGAUAUCGCAGAUUGUUACUUGAGAAAGCUGCCACGUCAAAGAAAACUAUAGAUUGCACCAUCCACACUAUAUUAAAGCUCAGCAUGAUAUAGCAAAGUCUCCAGAACUGCUGCUCACGAAAUGGACUCCGUGGAAGCUACAGCUCGCUAUAGUUGCGCCAGACAGCUCGAAAUUCCUCACGGAAUGUGUUAAGGCGAGCCUUCAGAUUAGGUGUCCUAAAGCUUGCAUGAAGAAGAGUGGAAAGAAGCCCUAUAGCCAAUGCCCAUAAGACAGUUAAGAGGCCACAUGAAGCAAACCAAAGGAAGAAACUCGCUAGAGAGAAUAUUAAGACAAACACCCAACGAGGCCUUCCACAAAUGAAAAUUGCUCGUUUAGCAGAUGGACGCCCUCGAAUAACAGGCGUGAGUGGAGGCCUCAUUUUUGCAGCUAAAUGAGGAGAAAACUGCCUGACAGUUCUUGUCACCUUCUCACUGAAAGUGCCUGCGAAACUAUCAUUUAGGAAAGCAAUACUGAGAGUGGUCAAAAAAGCAGCAACAAUAGCAAGUGGCCUCCUAAGAAACCCCAGUGCAAGAAUAGCCACAAUCAUAAUGAAGUAAUUUGUCCGGUAGUAGUAAAGAUUGCACUUGACUCGACUAUUCCAUUUGGAUGAAGAUCGGGGGAAAGUAAAUCGGGAGAAGAAUUCAGAUGGCGGACGCGGCGGAGAUGACCAGUCGACCUCGCGUAGAGCCUCGAUCAGAUCUUCUGUGGUUACGGUGCCCCAAUCCAUUUUUCGCCUUUGAUUGAUUCACGAGAAAUCCUGUUGAAAUUUUCGUGCAAGAGAAUUUUUUUCAGAAAGGAGAAGGAAAAAAAAAUGAUCGGAGAAUUAAUUUUCGAA
This 1092-nucleotide unclassified non-coding RNA is filed under the name Hevea brasiliensis (rubber tree). The record is from RNAcentral. Lineage: Eukaryota; Viridiplantae; Streptophyta; Magnoliopsida; Malpighiales; Euphorbiaceae.